Molecule: ribosomal RNA, 446 nt
Filed under: uncultured bacterium
Lineage: Bacteria
Description: bacterial SSU rRNA
Rfam family: Bacterial small subunit ribosomal RNA
Source: RNAcentral
GCCCAGACUCCUACGGGAGGCAGCAGUGGGGAAUAUUGCACAAUGGGGGGAACCCUGAUGCAGCGACGCCGCGUGAGUGAGGAAGUAUUUCGGUAUGUAAAGCUCUAUCAGCAGGGAAGAAAAUGACGGUGCCUGACCAAGAAGCCCCGGCUAACUACGUGCCAGCAGCCGCGGUAAUACGUAGGGGGCAAGCGUUAUCCGGAUUUACUGGGUGUAAAGGGAGCGUAGGCGGCUGUGUAAGCCAGAAGUGAAAGCCCGGGGCUCAACCACGGGACUGCUUUUGGAACUACAUGGCUCGAUUGCAGGAGAGGCAAGUGGAAUUCCUGGUGUAGCGGUGAAAUGCGUAGAUAUUAGGAGGAACACCAGUGGCGAAGGCGGCUUACUGGACUGUAACUGACGUUGAGGCUCGAAAGCGUGGGGAGCAAACAGGAUUAGAUACCCGGGUA